GGAGAGAUGGCCGAGUGGUGAAGGCAUAGCAUGA
RNAcentral lists this transfer RNA (34 nucleotides) under Richterago discoidea. RNAcentral's name for it is "partial tRNA-Ser". The record is from RNAcentral. Lineage: Eukaryota; Viridiplantae; Streptophyta; Magnoliopsida; Asterales; Asteraceae.